GUAAACGGCGGCCGUAACUAUAACGGUCCUAAGGUAGCGAAAUUCCUUGUCGGGUAAGUUCCGACCCGCACGAAAGGCGUAAUGAUUUGGGCACUGUCUCGACAAUGCACCCGGUGAAAUUGAAGUACCAGUGAAGAUGCUGGUUACCCGCGCCAGGACGGAAAGACCCCAUGGAGCUUUACUCCAGCUUGAUACUGGGAUUCGGUAUUGCAUGUACAGGAUAGGUGGGAGGCA
This 234-nucleotide ribosomal RNA is filed under the name Clostridium sp. 1xD42-85. RNAcentral describes it as "partial 23S ribosomal RNA". It matches the Rfam family "Bacterial large subunit ribosomal RNA", at positions 1923 to 2156 of the family's 2925-position model. Lineage: Bacteria; Bacillati; Bacillota; Clostridia; Eubacteriales; Clostridiaceae. The record is from RNAcentral.